This 449-nucleotide ribosomal RNA is filed under the name uncultured bacterium. RNAcentral's name for it is "partial 16S ribosomal RNA". It matches the Rfam family "Bacterial small subunit ribosomal RNA", at positions 29 to 523 of the family's 1533-position model. The record is from RNAcentral.
AGCGAACGCUGGCGGCAGGCCUAACACAUGCAAGUCGAACGAAGUCUUCGGACUUAGUGGCGGACGGGUGAGUAACACGUGGGAACGUGCCUUUAGGUUCGGAAUAACUCAGGGAAACUUGUGCUAAUACCGAAUGUGCCCUUCGGGGGAAAGAUUUAUCGCCUUUAGAGCGGCCCGCGUCUGAUUAGCUAGUUGGUGAGGUAAAGGCUCACCAAGGCGACGAUCAGUAGCUGGACUGAGAGGAUGAUCAGCCACAUUGGGACUGAGACACGGCCCAAAUUCCUACGGGAGGCAGCAGUGGGGAAUCUUGCGCAAUGGGCGAAAGCCUGACGCAGCCAUGCCGCGUGAAUGAUGAAGGUCUUAGGAUUGUAAAAUUCUCUCACCGGGGACGAUAAUGACGGUACCCGGAGAAGAAGCCCCGGCUAACUUCGUGCCAGCCGCCGCCGUAA